RNAcentral lists this ribosomal RNA (421 nucleotides) under uncultured eukaryote. Its description in RNAcentral is "bacterial SSU rRNA". It matches the Rfam family "Eukaryotic small subunit ribosomal RNA", at positions 592 to 1018 of the family's 1831-position model. The record is from RNAcentral.
CAAUAGCGUAUAUUAAAGUUGUUGCGGUUAAAAGUUCGUAGUUGGACAUCUGUCGAAGACGAGGGGUCCAUCCUUUGGGUGUGUAUCUUACUCGGCUUGGGCAUCAUCUUGAAGAACACUGCUGCACUUGACUUUGUGGCGCGGAAUUCAGGACGUUUACUUUGAGGAAAUUAGAGUGCUCCAAGCAGGCACACGCCAAUAUACACUAGCAUGGAAUAAUAAAAGUGAAUCUUGGUUCUAUUUUGUUGGUUUCUAGAACUGAGAUUUUGAUUAAUAGGGAUGGUUGGGGGCGAUUCGUACUUAACUGUCAGAGGUGAAAUUCUUGGAUUUGUUAAAGACGGCCUACUGCGAAAGCAUUUGCCAAAGAUGUUUUCAUUGAUCAAGAACGAAAGUUAGGGGAUCGAAGACGAUUAGAUACCAU